GUGAAGAUCACCAUAAUCUAAAAGGCC
This 27-nucleotide non-coding RNA is filed under the name Macaca fascicularis (crab-eating macaque). The record is from RNAcentral. RNAcentral also lists the same sequence under 1 other name. Lineage: Eukaryota; Metazoa; Chordata; Mammalia; Primates; Cercopithecidae.